This 396-nucleotide ribosomal RNA is filed under the name Triticum aestivum (bread wheat). RNAcentral's name for it is "partial small subunit ribosomal RNA". The record is from RNAcentral. Lineage: Eukaryota; Viridiplantae; Streptophyta; Magnoliopsida; Poales; Poaceae.
AUGGCAGACGCACACUAUCCUCACCUCCUCCCCUUUCCUGUACUUGUAGAGGAAGCCGUCGAUCUUCUUGCCGUUGGGGCCGUCCACCUUGGACGAGACCAUCGGCAUGUCCUCCAUCAUGCUCUUCCGCAGGUCGCCGGUGCUAGUCGUGCGCAUCGUCAGCGACCGGAGGGUCCGCAACGGCGGUUGCUCCUUGACGAUGCCGUUCGGCAGCUUCCCGGCCGGAGAUGGUGCCGGCGGCGGGAGGGACUUGUUCUGGUUGCUGGCAUUGUUAUUAUUAUUAUUAUCAGAAGAUAUCUCCAUGCUCGAUGUGCUCUUCGCCUCAGCGCCAUCAGCACUACCUGCACCAAUGCAGGGGAGAAGAUGUCACAUUUUCAUAUUCCAACAUGUCAAUAA